GCAGUCGAACAGCAGCACGGGAGCAAUCCUGGUGGCGAGUGGCGAACGGGUGAGUAAUAUAUCGGAACGUGCCCAGUCGUGGGGGAUAACGCAGCGAAAGCUGUGCUAAUACCGCAUACGAUCUAUGGAUGAAAGCGGGGGAUCGCAAGACCUCGCGCGGUUGGAGCGGCCGAUAUCAGAUUAGCUAGUUGGUGGGGUAAAAGCCCACCAAGGCGACGAUCUGUAGCUGGUCUGAGAGGACGACCAGCCACACUGGAACUGAGACACGGUCCAGACUCCUACGGGAGGCAGCAGUGGGGAAUUUUGGACAAUGGGCGCAAGCCUGAUCCAGCAAUGCCGCGUGCAGGAUGAGGGCCUUCGGGUUGUAAACUGCUUUUGUACGGAACGAAGCGGUUCUUUCUAAUAAAGAGAGCUAAUGACGGUACCGUAAGAAUAAGCACCGGCUAACUACGUGCCAGCAGCCGCGGUAAUACGUAGGGUGCAAGCGUUAAUCGGAAUUACUGGGCGUAAAGCGUGCGCAGGCGGUGAUGUAAGACAGAUGUGAAAUCCCCGGGCUCAACCUGGGACCUGCAUUUGUGACUGCAUCGCUAGAGUACGGUAGAGGGGGAUGGAAUUCCGCGUGUAGCAGUGAAAUGCGUAGAUAUGCGGAGGAACACCGAUGGCGAAGGCAAUCCCCUGGACCUGUACUGACGCUCAUGCACGAAAGCGUGGGGAGCAAACAGGAUUAGAUACCCUGGUAGUCCACGCCCUAAACGAUGUCAACUGGUUGUUGGGUCUUCACUGACUCAGUAACGAAGCUAACGCGUGAAGUUGACCGCCUGGGGA
RNAcentral lists this ribosomal RNA (825 nucleotides) under uncultured bacterium. RNAcentral's name for it is "bacterial SSU rRNA". It matches the Rfam family "Bacterial small subunit ribosomal RNA", at positions 57 to 879 of the family's 1533-position model. The record is from RNAcentral.